This 301-nucleotide ribosomal RNA is filed under the name uncultured bacterium. RNAcentral's name for it is "partial 16S ribosomal RNA". It matches the Rfam family "Bacterial small subunit ribosomal RNA", at positions 509 to 808 of the family's 1533-position model. The record is from RNAcentral.
CAGUAGCCGCGGUAAUACGUAGGUCCCGAGCGUUGUCCGGAUUUAUUGGGCGUAAAGCGAGCGCAGGCGGUAAGAUAAGUCUGAAGUUAAAGGCUGUGGCUUAACCAUAGUACGCUUUGGAAACUGCUUAACUUGAGUGCAGAAGGGGAGAGUGGAAUUCCAUGUGUAGCGGUGAAAUGCGUAGAUAUAUGGAGGAACACCGGUGGCGAAAGCGGCCCUCUGGUCUGUAACUGACGCUGAGGCUCGAAAGCGUGGGGAGCAAACAGGAUUAGAUACCCCGGUAGUCCCUGUCUCUUAUACA